This 490-nucleotide ribosomal RNA is filed under the name uncultured bacterium. RNAcentral describes it as "partial 16S ribosomal RNA". It matches the Rfam family "Bacterial small subunit ribosomal RNA", at positions 30 to 507 of the family's 1533-position model. The record is from RNAcentral.
AUUGAACGCUGGCGGCAUGCCUUACACAUGCAAGUCGAACGGCAGCAUGAUCUAGCUUGCUAGAUUGAUGGCGAGUGGCGAACGGGUGAGUAAUACAUCGGAACGUGCCCUGUAGUGGGGGAUAACUAGUCGAAAGAUUAGCUAAUACCGAAUACGACCUGAGGGUGAAAGUGGGGGACCGCAAGGCCUCAUGCUAUAGGAGCGGCCGAUGUCUGAUUAGCUAGUUGGUGAGGUAAAGGCUCACCAAGGCGACGAUCAGUAGCUGGUCUGAGAGGACGAUCAGCCACACUGGGACUGAGACACGGCCCAGACUCCUACGGGAGGCAGCAGUGGGGAAUUUUGGACAAUGGGCGAAAGCCUGAUCCAGCAAUGCCGCGUGUGUGAAGAAGGCCUUCGGGUUGUAAAGCACUUUUGUCCGGAAAGAAAUGGCUCUGGUUAAUACCUGGGGUCGAUGACGGUACCGGAAGAAUAAGGACCGGCUAACUACGUG